RNAcentral lists this long non-coding RNA (1495 nucleotides) under Homo sapiens (human). RNAcentral's name for it is "non-protein coding CBR3-AS1:13". Lineage: Eukaryota; Metazoa; Chordata; Mammalia; Primates; Hominidae. The record is from RNAcentral.
CGCGGUGUGAGGGAGCGGGAGUCUUCCUUAGCUUCUCCGCCAUGGGUGUCGCUUCGUAGCCGGGCUGCUCCGGGAAAGGCCUCGUACAGCACGCAUUCACCAGAAUCCUGUCAGCUUUCCUCUUCUCAUCCAGACGCCUGGCCAGGAUCCUCGAUAAGACCGUGACCCCCAACUUGGACACCCCAUAAGGAAAACUAGACAAUCCACCAGCCCAGGAGGGGACAAGCAGGCUUAUUCCUCCUCCUCGUCAUCUCUGGCUCCAGCCCCACCCUGGCCCUUGCUGGCAUUCUUCCUCUUCACGUGGCUGGGGUUGGCCACCCCAAUAGGGAAGCAGAGGGAGAAGUCAAUGUGCUUCUGGGAAUCCAGGCGGACAGUGAAGAACAGGAUAUUUACCACCUGCUCACGGACACGGAUAUGACACUGUUGAAUCAGCACAUGAGCGUGGCGGAUGGACUUAGCCAAGCCAAGCUUGAAGACCUGGGUCUGUAGGAAUCUCUAAGAAAUCAUUGAUCUUCAGGCCCAGGAUGUAAUCCAGCUUCAUCUUGCCCUCAUCCAGCACCCCAGUGCGGACCAGCCACUGCAGCAGGGCAAUGCCUUCGAACAGACGCCGUGGGUCCUUCUCAUCAAGCGUCAGCAGCUCCCGGGCGGCCUUAUGGAUCUUGACCAGGGUAAAUUUGACCCUCCAGACCUCACAUUUGUUCUGGAGCCCAUACUCACCAAUCAGCUUUAGCUUUUGGUCGAGAUGAGGUUUCUCGAAGGGUCUCUGCAGGGUCACAUAAGUUUGGCAACAAACCCAGCUCUGGGCCGCUGGCAUGUUGGCUCCACUUGCCCGUCUAUGCCUAAGCACAGGCCCUGGUCACUGAGAAAGAGCUCAAAUUUUUUAUAUAUUUCAUCUAAGGUGUUGAUUCUAUUGAUACCCUUAUCCUUUUAACAUGCCCUUAUCCUUUUAAUGUUGGUAAUGAUGCUACCUGUCAUUUCUGAGACUGGUUUGUGUCUUUCGUGUUUUUUUCUGAUCUGUCUGGCUAGAGGUUUACCAAUUGAUUUGAUUUUCCUCAAACUUCUGGUUACAAUGAUUCUCUCUCUCUCUCUUUUCCUGAUUAUAUUAAUUUCUGUUCUGAUCUUUGUUUCCUUUCUUCUGCUUACUGGAUUUUAUUUGCUCUUUUUCUGGUUUCUUACUGUAAAGGCAGAAGUCAUUGAUUUGCAUUGAUUUGAGACUUCUUUUCUAAUGUAGGCAGUAAGUGGUGUAAAUUCCCUUUUAGUAUGACUUUAGUGGCAUCUCACAUUGAUAUGUUUUCAAUUUCAUUCAGUUUAUUUUUAUUUAUUUUUUAAAUUAUUUAUUUAUUUAUUUAUUUUGAGUUGUGUAGCCCUUUAUUAGCAACUAAAAUAGAAGGUAUCUGUUGUACAACAUGGGUAGUAAUUGACUAUAACUGGAGAUUUAUUAUAUUCUAAUACAGAUCAUUUAUAAAUGCAAUUUCUUUAUUAAAAAGCUUCCACC